This 422-nucleotide ribosomal RNA is filed under the name uncultured cyanobacterium. Its description in RNAcentral is "bacterial SSU rRNA". It matches the Rfam family "Bacterial small subunit ribosomal RNA", at positions 356 to 795 of the family's 1533-position model. The record is from RNAcentral. Lineage: Bacteria; Bacillati; Cyanobacteriota.
GGGGAAUUUUCCGCAAUGGGCGCAAGCCUGACGGAGCAAUACCGCGUGGAGGAUGACACCUUUCGGGGCGUAAACUCCUUUUCUGGGGGACGAUAAUGACGGUACCCCAGGAAUAAGCACCGGCUAACUACGUGCCAGCAGCAGCGGUAAUACGUAGGGUGCAAGCGUUAACCGGAAUUACUGGGCGUAAAGCGUGCGUAGGUGGUUUCACAAGUCUAUUGUUAAAGCCCAGUGCUUAACAUUGGAAGCGCAAUGGAGACUGUGUGACUAGAGAGGAUGAGAGGUAAGCGGAAUUCCCGGUGUAGCGGUAAAAUGCAUUGAUAUCGGGAGGAACACCAGAAGCGAAGGCGGCUUACUAGCAUCUUUCUGACGCUAAGGCACGAAGGCUAGGGUAGCAAAAGGGAUUAGAUACCCCUGUAGUC